GACGAACGCUGGCGGCGUGCCUAACACAUGCAAGUCGAGCGGAGACGUGACUUCGGUUGCGUUUUAGCGGCGGACGGGUGAGUAACGCGUGAGGAAUCUGUCUUUGGCAGUGGGAUAACACUUGGAAACAGGUGCUAAUACCACAUGAGACCACAGCAUCGCAUGGUGCAGGGGUCAAAGGAGCAAUCCGGCCGAAGGUGAUCUCGCGUCCCAUUAGAUAGUUGGCGGGGUAACGGCCCACCAAGUCGACGAUGGGUAGCCGACCUGAGAGGGUGAUCGGCCACACUGGAACUGAGAGACGGUCCAGACUCCUACGGGAGGCAGCAGUGGGGAAUAUUGGGCAAUGGGCGAAAGCCUGACCCAGCAACGCCGCGUGAGGGAAGAAGGUUUUCGGAUUGUAAACCUCUGUCCUCAGGGAAGAACACAAUGACGGUACCUGAGGAGGAAGCCCCGGCUAACUACGUGCCAGCAGCCGCGGUAAUACGUAGGGGGCGAGCGUUGUCCGGAAUGACUGGGCGUAAAGGGCGCGUAGGCGGCCGAUUAAGCCUGGAGUGAAAGUCCUGCUUUCAAGGUGGGAAUUGCUUUGGAAACUGGUUGGCUUGAGUGCGGAAGAGGUAAGUGGAAUUCCCAGUGUAGCGGUGAAAUGCGUAGAGAUUGGGAGGAACACCAGUGGCGAAGGCGACUUACUGGGCCGUAACUGACGCUGAGGCGCGAAAGCGUGGGGAGCGAACAGGAUUAGAUACCCUGGUAGUCCACGCGGUAAACGAUGAAUGCUAGGUGUAGGGGGUAUCGACCCCUCCUGUGCCGCAGCUAACACAAUAAGCAUUCCGCCUGGGGAGUACGGUCGCAAGGUUGAAACUCAAAGGAAUUGACGGGGGCCCGCACAAGCAGCGGAGCAUGUGGUUUAAUUCGAAGCAACGCGAAGACCUUACCAGGUCUUGACAUCGAUCUAAUCUC
RNAcentral lists this ribosomal RNA (957 nucleotides) under uncultured bacterium. Its description in RNAcentral is "bacterial SSU rRNA". It matches the Rfam family "Bacterial small subunit ribosomal RNA", at positions 28 to 999 of the family's 1533-position model. The record is from RNAcentral.